RNAcentral lists this ribosomal RNA (1487 nucleotides) under uncultured Bordetella sp. RNAcentral describes it as "partial 16S-23S ribosomal RNA intergenic spacer". It matches the Rfam family "Bacterial small subunit ribosomal RNA". Lineage: Bacteria; Pseudomonadati; Pseudomonadota; Betaproteobacteria; Burkholderiales; Alcaligenaceae. The record is from RNAcentral.
CCGUAUACCUCAGGUAGUAACAGAGGGUUCGAUCAUGGCCUUGAUUGAACGCUGGCGGGAUGCUUUACACAUGCAAGUCGAACGGCAGCACGGACUUCGGUCUGGUGGCGAGUGGCGAACGGGUGAGUAAUGUAUCGGAACGCCUAGUAGCGGGGGAGAAUUACAGCGAAAGUAGCUAAUACCGCAUACGCCCUUCGGGGGAAAGCGGGGGACCUUCGGGCCUCGCACUAUUAGAGCGGCCGAUAUCGGAUUAGCUGUACAGGGUAACGGCUCUCACCACAGUACGAGAUCCGUAGCUGGUUUGAGAGGACGACCAGCCACACUGGGACUGAGACACGGCCCAGACUCAUUGGAGGCAGCAGUGGGGAAUUUUGGACAAUGGGGGAAACCCCAUCCAGCUAGUCCUGCGUGUGCGAUGAAGGCUCUCGGGUUGGGAAAGCACUUUUGGCAGGAAAGAACGGCACGGGAUAAUACCCUGUGCAACUGACGGUACUCGCAGAAUAAGCACCGGCUAACUCCACGCCAGCAGCCGCGGUAAUACGUAGGGGCAAGCGUUAAUCUGAAUUACUACAGGAAGCGUGCGCAGGCGGUUCGAAAGAAAGAUGUGAAAUCCCAGAGCUUAACUUUGGAACUGCAUUUUAACUAUCCUCCCGAGCUAGAGGUAUUAGAGGGAGGUGGAAUUCGCGUGUAGUAGUGAAAUGCGUAGAUAUGCGGAGGAACACCGAUGGCGAAGGCAGCUCCGGGAUAACACUGACGCUCAUGCACGAAAGGAGCAAACAGGAUUAGGAUACCCUGGUAGUCCACGCCCUAAACGAUGUCAACUAGCUGUUGGGGCCUUCGGGCCUUGGUAGCAGCUAACGCGUGAAGUUGGACCGCUUUGGGGAGUACGGUCGCAAGAUUAAAACUCAAAUAUCGAUUAACUGCACAAGCGGUGGAUGAUGUGAUUAAUUCGAUGCAACGCGAAAAACCUUACCUACCCUUGACAUGUCUGGAAUCCGAAGAGAUUUGGGAGGUUAAAGAGAACCUGGAACACAGGUGCUGCAUGGCUGUCGUCAGCUCGUGUCGAGAUGUUGGGUUAAGCCCCAAACGAGCGCAACCCUUGUCAUUAGUUGCUACGAAAGGCACCCAAUGAGACUGCCGGUGACAAACCGGAGUGAAGGUGGGGACGACGUCAAGUCCUCAUGGCUCUUAUGGGUAGGGCUUCACACGUCAUACAAUGGUCGGGACAGAGGGUCGCUAACCCGCGAGGGGGAGCCAACCCAGAAACCCGAUCGUAGUCCGGAUCGCAGUCUGCAACUCGACUGCGUGAAGUCGGAAUCGCUAGUAAUCGCGGAUCAGCAUGUCGCGGUGAAUACGUUCCCGGUCUUGAAGACAACGGCCCGCCUUACACCAUGGGAGUGGGUUUUACCAGAAGUAGUUAGCCUAACCGUAAGGAGGGCGAUUACCACGGUAGGAUUCAUGACUGGGGUGAAGUCGUAACAAGGUAG